Long non-coding RNA from Bufo gargarizans (Asiatic toad), 1001 nucleotides. RefSeq lists it as uncharacterized. The transcript has 2 exons. Lineage: Eukaryota; Metazoa; Chordata; Amphibia; Anura; Bufonidae. The record is from RefSeq and is a predicted model, not a curated record.
CCUGAGCCUAUGGAAAGGUCACAUGACGUGGAUGGGCGUGCCUACCCUCGUAAGAGCGAACGGUUCCCGGCAUGCAUCUGUGUGAGCAGAGUUUAUAAUCGCGUGCGGUUCCCCCGCCUUGAUGAACACAAAUCUAGUGACUACAUAACUACUCACCGCACAUGUCCAGCCUAUUAUCAUGGAGAGUCAGCCUCAUUCUUCUAUGUCUGAUGAACCAACGGAGGAUAGUAACACAUCUGCUGAAACAGCCCAAGGAAAUGUAAGCCAUGAACACAAGAAAAAAUUAGGUGCCAGUAGUAGACCCUACAAACAUAGAAAUAAAGACAAGAUACAGGAACGUAUCCAAGAGAAGAAGCUGAUUACCUGCAAGGAAUGCGGAAAGCGGUUUUCUGAAGGCUCAUGCUUAGCGCAGCAUCAAAAAAUACACCUUGGAGUGACCCCUUUUACCUGCUAUGAAUGUGGGAAAAAGUUCUUGCACAGAAGUAACUUGACAAGGCACCAAGACACUCAUCUACGCCAAAAAUACUAUGGUGUCAAAUCAACAUUAAUGAGACAGAAAAACAAAAAUUGUCUGGAGUCAUGGUGUGAGGACAACCUAUAAAACAAAGAACAGUUCACAACUGAAGCAUAAUGUUUCCAGAGAAACUGGACAUGAAAAGCCGACGAUAUACUGAAACCAAGGGUUUGUUCAAAAAUGGCAUAAGUUUAUCAUUAUCGCUUUGUUGCAGGACAAAUUUAAUGCCCUCCAUUCAUACCACUUGAUACUAGAGUGAAGAUUUGAGAGGGGCUCUGGGAUCUUUGAAGCAGACCAUUGGAGCCAGGGGAAAUGGAGCGGUGUAGAAAGGGGAAGGUGGCAACAUGAUGACACCAUAACGACACUGUCCUUGGUGUAGGGUUGUUGGAGUUCUAUUAUUGUAUUUCAUACCGUUCGUUUGUAUGAUACUGUUUGACUCUUUGCUGUAAUUGUUUUAUUUGAAUAAAGGACUUGAAAAUUUAAAAAA